ACAAGCGGACAGAACGCACCAUAUGAAAAGGGUUGUGAGAGUAGAACAAUGAUUAUACGAAAUGUAAUAAUUGUAAAUCAAAUGUAUAGUUACAUGUUGAUCGUAUUUUUCAAAACCAACCAUACUUUGGCAAAAAAUCAUUUAUUAUUGCUAAACGUAUCAAAAUAUUCGUAUUUCAAAAUACACUUUUCUACAUCUUUAUAGGUAAAACGCCUUCAGGUAGGCAAUGAAAUUCAAUUUCUUGACUGAUAUCGCGGCAAACAUGGCGGCGGAUAUCUUUUUUCAAAGGACUGAAGCAACUGUCAAAUCACAUACAAACGUUCCGUAUUGACUUUUUGGAACCAGAACGUUAGUUCCCUUUUUAUUCCAAUGACAUUUUGGUACCAAAACGUCAGUGUGGUACUGAAAUGUCAGGUCGGAAAUUUUCUUCUUUUUCAACCCCUUGUCUUUCUCGAGUCGAAUAUUGGUGCACCUUUUUUAUUCGUAAUUUGGGAGUCUGAAAAUAAAAAGAAAGGCAAUUUUUUCUGAAAUACAGGUUUUUUUUCAAAAGUUAACAGCAUUCAAAAUUUAAACGUAAAACACGUGGUCUUGUAGGCAUUCGCCCCUAUUUUGGUAUGAAUGAUUUUAGUUAAAAUAUUUAUAAUCUUCGGAAAGUGCAUUUUUUUUAGUUGGUUACUGUGAGACCUGGCCAGGGUUAAGGAAUAAACCAGGGAAAAUCCCAUCGCUUACCUUGCGUAAGUUCAGAUGCUGCGGAAGAAAGCCCUUUUUGUUGACACUGCACUACACUGACGCACGUCAUCGCGAGCGCUUGAUUGGAGCGCGACUGGCGGGACGAUGUGGAGAGAAGAUGUGUGCGACAGAGAUAAAUGGCUUUGUCCGCUGUCAGCCGAGGGGUGUCUCGAUGGAUAUAUUGAAUACAUUUGUAAUCGCUUAUUUAUAUCGAUCGUAUUAUCUCAAGGGGUGUCCCACAGUUACCACAGGUGGUAAAUCCCGGUUCACGGAUUGUACUCCAAGGCAUGGCGAGCCGCGGCGUCCCCCCAGUUUGCUACUCUGAGUCCAUGGGUACAAUGGGAAGACUCAUGAUAUACUUCGUGUAUAUUUUCUACUCCUUAAACUCCACCUGGGGCCGCAGACCUGGUUCCCACCUCGAACUGUUUAACACACUCUACUUCAAUAGUGGGAGGUCUAUUCGCGCUAGUGCGCUCCAAGGCAAUUGUCAUUAACGAGACCACUUUCAGCAAAACCUCUCAUCCUUACGACUCGACACCUAAACUCUCCUCUAAGGACUUGAGAACCAACAUCUCCUCGCAAUGACUCGAGAUUCCCACACAAACCCCCUCCUCUUCGCGACUUGAGACCUGAUCUCUCCUCUAACGAUUCGAGAUCCGACUCUUCCUCGCAUCGACUCGAGGUUUACCUCUCCUCUGCACGAUUCAAGGCCAGAUCUCCCCUCUAAUGACUUGAAAUCUGACCUAUCCUCGUAUUGACUCGAGGUGACCACUUGUACCCCUCCUCUUGUUGAUUUUGGGCCUGAUCCCUCCUCUUACGACUCGAGACCCGACCCUUUAUCAUAUAGACUCGGGGUUGACCACACAAACCUCCCCGCCUGAAAGUUCGAGGCCUGACCUCUCCUCUAACGACUCGAAGCCCGACCUCUUAGCUCCAGGAUUCGAGGUUCGCCACUUUGGCUGUCGUGUGCCAGAUCGAGAGCAGCUUAUUCUAGACUCGCGCCUGUCACGGCACACGCGCGGGACUCAACGCAACGACUCGGAUGAAUUCCGACGAAGACGUAAUCCUACUCCGACUCGAAUGGCUAACCCGGUGUCGAAAGCCAGUCUACCCGUGAGUAUUCCCCGAUCGUGGAAUAACCCUUUCCCAACGAUUUCCACUGCGAAGAAGGUUAAGUCUUAUCCCCGCAGCUUCAGUCGUUGGAAACCGCCCAACUCGGAUACUAGCCGAAGGUGGAGCAUCCUACGCACGAACGCAGUGCACCCACGGCAUCCGCUACGCAGAAGAUGUUGGCUUAUCUUUGUAACUUCAAACCGUGAGGUCGGACGCACUCUACUCGACAGCCCCCCGUCGAAGAGAUCAGUCUACUCCGACCGUUGCCCGGUCUUCUUUAUCCCCCUUGGCUGGCAACCCUAGGAUUUUUGGCCCUCGGAUUUUUCUGCCCGUUGUGUGCCAGAUCGAGAGCAGCUUGUCCUGAACUCGCGCCUGUCACGGCACACGUUCGGGAGUUUGAACGCUACGACUCGGAUGUUUCUCGACGAUGACGACAUCCUACUUCGCCUCGAGAGGCUUGCCCGGUAUCGAGAGCCUCUCUACCCGUGGGGAUCCCCCGAUAGUGGUUAACCCUCUUCCUUCGAGGUCCGCUACGAGGAAGGUAAAGUCUUAUCCCCGCAGUUUCCCCCUUAAGAAGGGACACUAAUCGGAUACUCCCCGACAUUGGAAUAUCCUACACACGUUCGCGGUGCACCCCUGACCUCCGCUACGCAGAAGGAAGGAUCGAUCAAGGAAUUGGACGCACACUUUUCAGAUGCUCCCCGUCGAUCUAGUCAUCCUGCACCGUUCGCGGACUGCCGUUGGUUCCAGCUCUUCUGCAGGGCAGUCAUGAUCCGAGUGAACCCAUCGCUGACCGCAUGCCAAGUGUUGAAAUCCGCACACAUCUUCUGUACAACGUUGUCUGCUGUCGUGUCGGGCCCACAGGCGGCAAAUAUGGAAGUACGUACCGCCGCAAACCUCGGAUAGACAAACACCACAUGCUCGGGUGUUACCUCCACGUCCCCACAAUCUGGGCAAUAUGGCGAAGCCAUAUGUCCAAACCGGUAGUGGUACUUCAUUAAUGACCAUCCAUGACCAGUCAGGAAUUACUUCAUAUAGAAGUCCACUUCACCGUGCCUUCUUCCGAUCCAGCUCCUGAUGUGCGGGAUCAGACGAUGGGUCCACCUUCCUCUCGUUGAGCUGUCCCAUAGCUGCUGCCAGUUGGACAUGUGUCUUUGUUGUCAUAGCAGUAGACAUCCUCCUCAAGCAAAACCGAGAUGGGCAUGAUACCCGCUACUAUACAGGCGGCUUCGGACGACAUGGUCCGGUAUCCCCUGAUAACCCGCAGGUUCAUCAGCCACUGAACGCUGCUAAGUCGCUGCAGGUUACAGUUUCUUCCCAGGGCCUGCCUCCAGACCGCUGCUCCGUACCGCAAUAUUGAUGUGGUCACACUUGCCAGGAUCCUCUAUUUACUACUUCGGAUUGCCGAGUAGUUCGGCAUCAUCCUUGUGAGUGCGGCCGUGGCCAUUGCCGCUGUCUUGCACUCGUAGUCGGCAUGGCUUGUAAAGCUGAGCCUGUCGUCUAUCAUCACCCCUAUGUACUUGAUUGCGCGUUUGGACACGAUAUUAUACGGUCCAACUGCAAUGGUACCUGUUUGGGGUGAGAUCAGGUUGGUGAUUAGCACCAUCUCGGUUUUGUGGUGCGCUAGACGCAGGCAGUUGGAGUCCCCUGCCUGGAUAGCUAACGUGGCCAGUAGCUCAGCCUCCGCUGUUGAGGAGCCUCUCGCCAAGAGGACUACAUCAUCCGCAAAUCCUACGAGUUCAGCUCCCGAUGGGAUUCUCAUUCGUAGGAGUUCGUCGUAAGAGACCGGGCCCCUGUGGAACACCCGCCGAAACCUCUUGUGCUCGCAAACCGUCGCCGGUCAUUUACUGCAGUUGGCGGUUGUGGAAGUAACUUUCCACAAGCCUAUACAGAUAUGCCGGGAUCCUCAUUUGGAUGAGCGACGACGCAAUCGCUGUCCAACUGACUCUGUUGAAAGCGUUCUUCACAUCCAGAGUGACUACCGCGCAAAAGCGGAGCUCACUCCUCUUGGUUAGCCUGGAUCUGUCCGCUACCUCGAUGAAAUGCAUACGAGUGUAAAAACGAUAAGCUGUAGUUUCAUCAGAUUGUGCAGGCUGUUCUACCAUAAAACCUUUCAAUAUAUCAAGUUUCAUGUUGGCAGAUUAUGUAUUUACAGUACACAAUCCAACUGAUGCUUGCCUAUUCGCCUGUUCUUCAUUCCUUUCUAAAUUCUUCUACCUAGCGUUUCAUCUCGCCGCACGUGUCAAUGAACAUAUUAAAUCAGUAAAUUUUUCGGCGAUUAAAACUUAUCAUCAAUUAUUGAAUAUUAGGGCAACUUAUACUAAAACGUAUUAUAUGAUCUAUUAAAAGCGUCAAUUCAAGGUUUGAUUAAUCUGACGAAGAUAAUUCAAAUAGGUACCUACCUACAUUUAUGUAAUUAUAUUUUAAUCGACACACCUGAAAGAGAAACGCGAAAUACGCCCCUAAGUCCAUAUUUCUUUAACAUGCUCAGGUUCCACGCCUUUUCAAUCCAUUUUCUCGGCACUCCUAUGAAGAACCAAAAGAUUAAAUCUCUGCGAGUCAGGCCUUGUAAAUUGUGUUGCAAACAGAUUCGCCAACUUAGUUUGCGCAGCAGCCAACCGCUUUGAUCGUAAACCAAAGUAAGUUUCCUAACAUUUGAGUCCAACAAGCUGGGGGCCGGAAAAAUUUGACACCAAAUUAUCCCACAAAUGAAAACACUUGUUCUGGCCGGCCGUUUCAGGCUGACGCUUUUGCCAUGAAGGGUUUUUAUCCUAUCUUCUUGUGAUGUGGUUGAUAUUUAGCCGAAUCAGAUGACCAGCAACGGCCCAUUUUUCUUGAUGCUUGUAUUUCACUAGCGAAUUUCUCCCACGCAACAACCAAACCAGCGCGUAGUGUGGAAUGAAAAAUGGUCCAAAUUAAAUUAUUUGUACCGUCCGUCGUUGCUUCAUGUCUUUGGUUCUUUCCCAGGAAGAUGUAUCAACAAACUACGUACAGGCAAAACUGUGACAGGGGAUAUUAUUUAAUUCCGCAAGUCAGGCGUCACGCGAGUUUUGCGAGCAAGUACGAUCUUGUAGAGAGUCCAAUGGUUUGAAGCUGAACGGCUUCGACUUUUCGCUGAACAUCAGAAAUCUAAAUGAUGUAAGCAGUAAUUAAGUGAAGUCAAAUUUAUUGAAGUUUAACAACAGCCGGAAAAUAAAAUCCAUUUUCCACUAAAUUAUUGUCUUGUGUUACUCAUCUGCUCGAGAGCUGUCUAUAAACAACGUUAAAUAUUACAGUGUAAUAUUUAGACUCAACAUUUGAAUCUAAUGAAUUUAGAUAAUAAAAUUGAUUUUUCAUACUUGAAACAUCCAGGUGUAUGAACGAUCCCACUCCAUCCUACAUUUUUUACCCCUAAUUGAGCUCGGGUGAAGAUUUAAUUUGACUGGCUGGAGAGCAGCUUCAGAUUCGAUCAGUUUAUGAGCGUUCUCACUCAGUGCAUUUCAAGUGCAAGUUUAACUGACGCUCGUUUGCGUUUUAUUUUUUAACUUUAUUGCUAGGGCCGUUUAAUUAUCGAUCUGAUUGAUGUUUUCCGCGCGCCGUCCAAGACAGUGAUGCCCGGAAACAGAUGCCUUCUGGUAGAUUUUUGGAGCGGUCGUAAUUUUAACCAAUCUAUUUUAGAAUCGAAUGGUUUUUGGGUUGUUUAGCAUUUAAACAAAUGGAAACAAUUAUUAAUAAAUGAGAAAUUAAAUUUCUUUGAAAUUAAUUUUGAAUUCUUUCACUUCACCGCCACUUGCGGUGAUUUUUGUCAGAUCCAAUUUAUUUUUAUAAGUUGUAAAAUCGAAAAUGAUCUUUCGUUCUGUAAACAGUUUUCCUUGUCUACACAAAUGUGCUAAAAUUUUUUAGUUAAAAAUCACAUGCAUAGUUUUAAUCACAAAUUUCAACGUUUUCUUACUAGACGAUGAAAUGAAUUUAACAGAACAAUCCAUAAACGUUAUAACGGUUAUAGAAGCUAGAAUUUGAUGAUUUUCAGUCACUUACAACUCAAACCCUUCGAAUGCAAGAAACAAUUUCUACUCUGUUUCAAUCACAAAACGUGAACGUUGAAACAACGUUGAAAAAUCACAUUGUUAAAAAUCGAUGAAAGGAAAAAAAAAGACCCAGAAAUACAAGCCAUCAAACUUCCAAUAGUGCCGAAUCGAUUAUCUAGAGCGGAACUUUCUGACUUUCUAAAUUGGAAAUUGCAUUGACUUUUGGAAAUCCGAUCGAAUCAUAUUGAAAGUUUUUUCUAGGUUUUUUGUGAAAGUAUCGUAGAUAGUAUUCCGAUGUACCGUCAACUGGGGCAUCAUGCAACACUUUUCAACUGUUUCAAACUUUCAAACUUAAUGUCCAGAGAGAAUCACAGCACGCUUGUUCAUCAAAAGUUUUAAGGUCGAUGGGACAUCAAAUUGACGUAGUAAGAAAAAUUAAACGUUUCAUCAGUUAUUUUAAAUUUACAAAAACAUGCGAACUUCUAAGAAAAAAGGGUUAGUUGCAACAAACUUUGUUUUUAAUCAAAAAUCAAAUGAAAACGUUUAAAAAUUUAUAGUUUUUGAUAUAUUUGUGAUGUCAUAACGCAUAAAGCACCAAUUGCAGUUAUAUUUGGUUUUGUUUGAAUUCAAGUUACAUUUUUCAUGUCGAAAAUGAUUUUAAAGAAAAAGUAGAAAGGUGGCACAUACAUUCAGGGGUAAAAAAUUCUACGAAAAUUCCACUUGCUGAAAUCAUAAAAAUCAAUGUUAUUAUGGAUGAAAUUUUGAAAUUAACAAUUGCGUAAUGCAUAACAAUCAUAUUCCAUGGAAACGAUCGAGAUUUAAAAGGUGAAUUUUUGAUAUUCACUGGGUAAAGUUUGUUACAUUAUCGAAAAAUUUUAAAAUUUGUACAUUUAUUGCUCGACUUUUCAAAUGAAAAACAUUCAAAAGCAAUCUCACAAUGUGAGAAACUGUGUCAUCAACAUUUUGUUAUCAUUAAAUGAAAACUUCAUUACAUUUUAUCAAAAUGAAAAUUGAAUAAGUGUUUUUUUUUUUAAAGACAUACACCGUCUUAGCCGAUUUAGGCUUUACAGACUGAAUAAAUGACGUGGACAACUUAAGAUUAACAUUUAACACCCAGUACCGAGAUGGGAAUCGAACCCAUGCCAUUAGUGGACCAGUGAUUACCGUCUUACCACGCUAACCACUCGACCACCGAGACGUACAAAUGUUGCAUCCAACCCAGCUGUUGCAUGAUGCCCCGUUUGACGAUAUAUUCCUUGAAAAUAAUUUUAAAAAAAUACCAUCAAACGGGGCAUUAUGCAAGAGUAGAGUUAGAUGCAAAAUUUGUAUACCACAACAUUUAUAAUUUUUUUUUAAAUGUUAUAAAGUUAUCAUUUUAUGACAACAAAAUAAUGAUGACACAGUUCCUCACAUUGUGAGAUAGCUUUUGAAUGUUUUUGAUUGCAUAGAUAGUUCAAAGAAUCGAGCAAUAGAUGCACAAAUUUUAACAUUUUUAGAUGCCGUAAAAAACUUUUCCCAGUAUGACAGAUUGGCCUAAUGAUAUCACCUACACACUUUAUAUUGCUUUUGUAAUCUUAUACCAACACUGUUGGUGUAAAAUUAUUUUUCUGACAUUAGCAAAUUUUUUAAAAUAUACAUUUAUUUAAUUCACCGUUAAAAUCUUUUUUCCAUAUGCUGGAAUAUGAUUGUUAUGCACCACGCGAUUUUGAGUUUCAAAAUUUCAUCCAAACAUUAAAUUUUUAUGAUUUCAACUUGUAGAAUUUUAAACCCCUUAAUGUAUGCAACACCUUAUGUUUUUUCUGAACAAAACAUCAACAAGCACACACUAAGUAGUAAUCGAAUUAUGUUAUGUUUGAGGCCCAUUUUCAGUUCUCGUGAAAUUUAACGGGAAAAUAUCUUUUUUUCAAUAGCUAAAAAUGCGUGUGUUAUAUUGUGGAAUCGAUGGGGAACAAUUUACAAACGAUUUUCCAGCUGGACUCGUUAUUUAAAAACUUUAAUCACGGAAAUUCCAUCAUGGCGUGAUAAUUGAAAUAAAAACAUUUCUGGGAAAUUAAAAACAACAAGAUAAAUUGGAUUUUCAUCUUUCAACCAUUCCCCAUCGAUUCCAACAUUCUAUGAAUCCAAGUUUCGUCAUGUUGUUGUGUUAUUGGCGACAUAAGAUUUUUCUUUAACUAGAACUGUAAAUGGGCUCUAGGCGUAUGUAAAUCCUUCGCGGAUACAAAGUCUAGCAUCUUAUAAAUGAAUAAUCUUCCAGCCCACAGAGACUUACUUACUUACUUGAUGAUUGCGCGUCGAUUCUCCGGCGCACAGGGCCGUGUUUAAAGACCUCCCAGUCAAGAUUCUUGACGACAGUUCCGGCGGCUAGGCCUCGCCACCACGAGUGGGUCUGCCCUCCUUCGAUGUCCUUCUGGAUUCCAGCGUCUCUCUGGAAAUCUCGUUCUGAUUUUUUCGCAACGUGUGCCCAAUCCAUCUUCACUUACGUUCCCGAAUCUCGAUUUCGAUUUAAAACGUUCGUAGCCACGCUCAUUUUGGUAGUUUUACUGCCGGGUCAAAGAAAUUUUCUGAGCGAGAAAUUAAAGAAGGAGAACUCCAGCUUUGCAACUUAUGGCUAAAUGAGUGGCUAACUUGAUUAAGAGAGUGUCACACGUUAUUGAUGUGACGGCGCCUCCCAGGAAAUACACCCGUCACCCGGGGUCCCAUGGCGAGGAACUUGUUAAAGAUUCACUCGUAGAGAUAUCUGACGUGAGCGUCAGUUGUUGCAGAGACUCGCAAAUAAAAAUCGGGCUUUUCUGAUCCGAGUUUCGAUUCUUUCUUACUAGUAUCACUAUUAGGCGUUGUCUGGCUAUAAAGAUACUGGAAGCCCUUCACUCUCUUAACUUGUAGCCCAGCUACCAUGAAACUGGAGGGAUUUCCUGUGUUGUUCUCCAUCGGCUUAGCCUUCCCGACAUUAACUUUGGGACCUGCUGCCUUGGAUCUUUCGGUGAGGUCGUCGAGUUUGCUCUGCAUAUGCGGUUGUGUUUGGGCGGGCAAAACAAUAUCGUCUGCCAGGUCAAGGUCGCCAUGUCAGAUUACUUUGAGGGUUGUACAGAUCAACGUUAUGCCUCGCCAGUUACCGCUUUCUGUCAGUUCUCCUUUCUUCGGGACCUUUACGAGGAUACCCUGCAUCCAGUCGGCAGGGAAUGUUGUAGUAUCCCAGAUGUCAGCGAAAAGGCGGUGCAACAUUUGUGCAGACAAGGCAGGGUCGGCUUUCAGUAUUUCAGCAGGGAUGCAAUCGAUCCCAUGUGCUUUCUUGGAUUUCAUGUCUUCGAUUGCCGCUUCUAUUUCAGCCAGCGAGGGCGCUUCCGAGUUGAUGCGACUUACUGUAGGCGCCUCGAGGCCAUCGCUAUUCGUGACUCGGAAGAGUUGUUCGAAGUGCUCAGUCCAUCGUUUGAGCUGAACUGUUCGAGGUGAUGGUCAGAUGCAAUGUCUGUGCUUCGUUUGUUGCGGACAUCAGGGGGGCCGGACAUUCGCCCAAAGGCCAAUAGACCGAAAGAUGUUAGGCCGAAGGUUGCUAGGCCGAAUGGGUUAAAAGGCCGACGGAUUUUCCCGAAUGGUCAUUAAGCUGAAUAGUCCUCAGGCCGAAUGGUCAUUGGACCGAAUGGUCAUUAGGCCGAAUGGUUGUUAGGCCGAAAGGUCAUUAAGCCGAAUGGUCAUUAGGCCGAAUGAUCACUAGGCCGAAUGGUCGUAAGGCCGAAUGUUCGCAAGGCCGAAUGGAUGCUAGGCCAAAAAAUCGUUGGGCCGAAGGGUCAUUAGGCCGAAUGGUCGUAAAAGCGAAUGGAUGCUAGGCCGAAUGGUCGUAGGGCCGAAUGGAAGCUAGAAGGUCGUUGACCGAAUGGUUGUUAGGCUGAAUGGUUUUGCAUGUUAGGUUGAUCAGUAGUUAGGCCGAAUGGUUGUUAGGCCAAAUGGUUAUCAGGCCGAAUGGAUGCAAGGCCAGAUUCGACCAUUCGGCCUAUCGUCCAUUCGGCUUUACGACCAUUCAGUGUAAUGACCAUUUGGCCUUGUGACCAUUCGGCCUAAUGAUCAUUCGGCCUUAUGACCAUUCGGCCUUGUGAACAUUCAGCCUAUCGUCCAUUCGGUCUAACAACCAUUCAGUCUCAUGACCAUUCGGUCUAGCAUGCAGAUAAGUGUAAAAGAUUUCUUAUUGACCGAGCAACCAUUCAUUACGACCAUUCAGCCCUAUGACCAUUCGGCCUAACGACCAUUCGACUUUUCGGCCUGGCAUCCAUUCGCCCUUACGACCAUUUGGACCGACCACCAUUCGGCCUAAUGACCAUUCGGCCUAACGACCUUUCGGCCUAGCACCCAUUCAGCAUUACGAACAUUCGGGCUUCCGAUCUUUCGGCCUUACGACCAUUCAGCCUUGUGACCAUUCGGCCUUACGACCAGUCGGCCUAAUGAACAUUUGGCCUAAUGCCCAUUCGGCCUAGUGACGAUUCGGCCUAAUAACCAUUCGGUCUAGUGACCAUUCGGCCGAACAUCUUUUCGACCUUGCGUCCUUUCGGCCUAAAAGCCUUCGGCUGGAUUACCGUCGGCCGAAUCACCCAUUCGGCCUAGUGGCCUAUUCGGCCAGAUAGCCCAUUCGGCCUAACGUCCAUCGGCUGAAUGACUUUCGGCCGAAUGGCUUCCGUCCUCAUGACUUUCGGCCGAAUGACCCAGCCUCACCAUCAAGGAGGCAUUUGAUGCAGAUGUGACAAUUUGAUUCUCUGUUCCGCUAUCUCGGGAUACCCAAUUGACCUUAUGUGCAAAAAGCGAUCCAUCGUUCACCAUGUUGUUGUUGUCAGAAAAGUCUACAAAAAGCUUUCCGUUUUCGCUCAUCUGUCCAAGACCUUGGCACCCCAUGAUGCGCUCAAAAUCUUGAUUGUCGGAGCCUAUCUUUGCGUUAAAGUCGCGCAAAUGUAUUUGAAUGUCAUCCUUCGGAAUUUUCUCAACCACGCUGUUCAGUUGACUGUAAAACUGCUUUUUCUCCUGCAAAUCGGCGGUCAGUUGGAAAAUAGCGCUGGACCAUUGUAAGGUUUCAAACCCGUGUUCUAAAUCUGGCUACGAUUAUUCUUUCGUUUAUCGGUUCUCAUAUAAUGAGGGCCGCAUGGGCCUGCGGGCUUAAUAGGAAACCAACUCCUCGUUCCCGAGUAGCAUGUUCUUCUCCUAUGUAUGAGUAAAGCAGGACUUGCCUGGACUGUGUCUUGUGUUCUCCAGUGUUAGGCCAAAGGACUUCUCUCAGUCCCAGAAUUUCAAGCUUGAGGCGGCUAGCUUCUGCUCUAUCAAGUUGGGCAAGCUUGCCUUGUUGGGCAAGGGUUAAAACAUUCCAAGUUUCAAUUCGUAUCCGUGUUUUCAUGCUAAAAGUCGUCGCCAAAGUUCCGGAUCGGUCAUUUCUUUCGGACUCCGUAACAAUUUUAUAAAUCGGGAGCAGUAGUAGGUUGUUAACCUAAAGUCCCUAUCCCGCGAUGGGGCUGCCAUCUUGGACUUAGCUGACGGAAGCCGCAUUUCAUAAAUUUAGCUGCUCGCUGCGAGACAGACGCUGUUUUAGUCGCCCCUGACCUGGAGAACAGACGUGUGCGGCCACUGCGGUGAUGAUCGCUGACUUAGAAAACUUUAACGCUACUCACUAGGCCACGACCGGCGGCCCUACAAAGAAUUUGACCAAUUCCACGCAAACACCCACCAUGAACUCAGCUCGUAUAUUCUUUUUUAAAUCACACCGUUUUGAAUAUAAUUUAUCAAACCUCACUCAUAUUUUGUUCUGCUUUUUUUUUGCGAUCGUAACCCCUAAAAAUUUUAAAUUUGAAAUACAAAAAAAUCUAAAGUGGCGCGUUUUUACGUCACGGUUCAACACGUUCGUCGCCAAGAAUGGGUGACGAAAAAUAUGUCUAAAUUGGAAAAGUCAUGAAACAAAUUCAUGAAUUAUUUUAUUCAAAAUUAUCUCGGAUUAAAACCAUUCUCUCCUUUGUUCUCUAGCUGAACUUCGAAGCCGAAUGAUACAUUCCGUUGAUGUUUUGACUUUUCAAAGUUGGAUAUAUUUCGAGUGGGUGACGCUUGGCGACGAACGCGUUGAACCAUUCAUAUUUCCUUCAUUGUUAAAUCAUUUAAAAAAAAUUAACUUUUAUUCAGGAUUAACUUAAAAAAUGUUCUGCGAACUUCGGGAGGUCCCAUUACGAAUAUAUUUUGUUUACAAAUGCAUGCUGUAAUUUAUUUAUUGUUGUAGUAUUCCGUUCACGACAUAACUUGAUGAACAAAAUUCCUAAAAACUUCAAACUGGUAUUCAUGUAUUGGUGAAGGCUGAAAAGGCACAAUUUUUUACCAAAAUAUGCCAGACAUCAAACAGAGCUUUAAUCGUUUUAAAUUUUAUUUUGUUCUAAUUGUAAGAAAAUAAUGCAUGGAUUCAUCAAAACUCAAUUCGGUUUGCGAGAAAAAAUGAAAAAGUGUUUUUUUCUUCUAAUACAAAAAAAAUAAUCAAGAAGAAAAAUAUUCACUACAAAGUCCAUCAUGGAAUAAUUUCCCAAAAAAAUAAUGGACUAAAUACUCUUCCAUUUCUUCACCAAACUUCCAAUAAAUGAGGAUAGCUUUUUUUACAAUUGCCAAAAAAACGCACAACAAAAAUUCGUAAACGAUUUCGAGAAGAUGUUGAAAUUAAUGUAAAACGGCUCGAUACGAGAGUGGGCUGUGCAUCCACCGCUCGUACUGAAGGAAUGCACGAAUAAUUUAGAGGAAAAAAUCGAUGAAAACACAAAUAUUAGAAUGCAGCCAUAUCAUACCGAAAAAAAAAAAUAAAAAAAAUCAAACUCGAAUGAUGUUCGAUACAAACACGGUUAUUUAAUUAUGUUACAAUCUGAAGGAGAAAAAAUCUAUAUAAAAAGCAACAGAAACAACAAUAGAUUAAAGUCAACUGUAGCCAGUAAACGAAUUGUCUGUGGUAAAUGUUCGAAGUGUAGAAAACAAACAAAAUAAGAUGCUCGGCAUCGUCAUGUAAAGAUAGGUAAAGUUGAAAAGAAAACCAAAUGUUAGACUAGAUAAAACGUGUAACGUUCAAACCGGGAAGAUCAUAUCUUUCCCAUCUAGAGAUUUAUAGUUUAAGUUUGAUAAGUUUGUAAUUGAAAUCAAAACAAAAAAAAACAUGUCACAAGUGAGAGAACAAAGAUAAAUUUAACGCUAAGAGCAUCUAACAAUAGCUGAUAAAGAAUGAUAGACACUACGUAAGCGAUACCAAAAAUUCUGAACAGAAAUAAGCCUAAAAAAGGUGAAUAGGUAAGUCCAUUUUAGUGAUAAUAGAAUCUACUAAAAUAUUGAAUUUAAGCUAACUAGCAACUACUAGCUGAGAAUCCAUUACGCACUAAUAAGGAGAGAACAAAACUAUAGGAGAAUCCCAGAAAGAUGGCAUCUAAAUAAAGAAAAAAGCAAUAUUUAUAUCGGUAGGAUAACGAAAACCUGUAAAAAUAUUCUACACAUUUUUGUGACAACAAUCGAGUUUGAAAUUAAUGGUAGACUCCACGAAAUUCAAGAAAAAAACAUGUCGGAAUACUAAAUGGUGUUUGGAAGAAUUCAAUUGUUGUGCAAUUCCAAAACAAAUAAAAAAAAACGAAACCUUUCAUAAAAAUAAUCUUCAUGUUAGCAAUUGAUAGGAUGCUUCGAGAAACCAAAAGUAGGUACGAUUAAGAACCGUGUCGUUACCAUUUUCAUAAUAGAUCAAAGCAUACGAAGCCCGUCGUCUUAAGCCCACCGCAAUCAAGCCACAAUCGCAUCAGCUCAUGAAAUCAUCACAAAUCAUGUAGAAUCAACGCGUAAAGUUUCUCACCUGCUAGCUUUCCUGCCUUUCGAGUUCAAAUAGCGAAAUGAAUAGAUCCUUCCGGUGCCAUCACAUUUUUACAUUAUGAUUUGUUGGACGAAUGUGCUACGGUUAAAUACUCGUUUCAUCCCGACUAUCACGUUUUAACAAAUCGUUAGAUGUAAUUUGUUAGUUAUUGAGUGAAGCUUUCAAUCCCUUAGAAGGGGCAGGCAACGAAAGUCGAUCGAAAAAGGGGGCUCAUUCUGCGAACCACGUAAGGUGAUUCGAAAUUUCACUUAGUCGCCCUAGCUCCAGGAAACAAAAAGAAAUCAUUCAGAUAAGCUCCUAUCACUUAACGUAACUCGCAGAAUAAGCCCCAGUAUAGCAAAUAAUUAGUGCAGCAAAGUAGGUGCAACCAAACAUGAUUUCAAGUGUUGCAUACCUAAAGGCGCUUUUUAUUUUUCUUAAGCCUAGCCUACACUAGGCAACAUGAACUGCGAUUUUUGUUAUGAGACGAACUUUGUUGUCUCAUUUUUCCCGAAGACAAACCGUCUCCUAGUGUGGACUAGGCUUUAGAUUACUCUUGUAACAAGUUCGUGGCCAAGCGUCACCAACAACAAACAAUUUAUUAGUUUUCAAAUUCAAAACAAUCAAGAGGAAAUAUCGUUUUGGUUAUAAAUUUUGGCUUUCCUCACUGUACAUUAUGAAAUGUUACGAAAAAAUAUUGAAUUAAAACAAUAACUUCACAUGGAUGUUAGAAUUUUCCAAAGUUAUACGUAUUUUGCAGUGGCGACGAACGUGUUAAGGCCAAAAAAAUAUCAAAUUCUUUCUUUGUCGCUCUUUUCGAUAAUUUCGAAAAUUCCGGAGUGAAGGAUAAAUGAAUAUUAAGGCAUAUAAAGCGCGAACACAAAAUUAUUGCGACACCUAAAAUAUCAUGCCAAUUUUCUUAUAAUGUUUAGAAUCAAACCAAAAUUUUAGGGCACUUUUAAACAUAUAUUUUCUUCAAAAAUCAAAACAGAAGUCAAUCGAUGGAGCCUUGAGUGUGAAAUUGAACGCAUUUUCGCUUGCUUCCCUCCAUCAAAGACUUUACAGUGUCACACGGUACCAGUUUCUCAGUUUUUUUUUCCAUUCUCCAAACAUGUCCUUCUCGCCUUUGACUGUCUUCUUGUUCUUCCGAAGUUUCCGCUUAAUUAUUGCCCAGUUGUGCUCCACCGGACGCAGCUCCGGAAAGUUCAUGUUGUUUGAAACAAAAUGGACAGAAUUGGCCUCAUACCACUUCAGGACACUUAGAAUAGUGGCAUGAUGCCAAAUCUGGCCAAAAUAACGGAGCUUCGUCGUGCUGCUGCAAGAACGGCAAAAGGCGUGUUUCUCGAGACACUCAGAUUGGAGAAUAUCGCCGUUUACAGUGCCCUUUGUCACGAAAGGCUCACUCCUCAGUCCGCAAGAGCAGAUGGCCUGUAAAACGAGAUAUUUGGAGGCGAACUUUGAAAAUGUCUUCUUCUUAAAUUUGUCGUCCACAUCGAGAUUGCUCUUGGUGGCGAAAAACUCCAACUCCGGAAUUUGCUUAAAAUCGGCUUUUAUAUACGUUUCGUCGUCCAUCACACAGUAGCCAAAUUGGGUCAGCAUCUUCUCGUAGAGCUUCCGUGUCCGAGUUUUAGCCGUCGAUUGUUGGCGCUCAUCGCGGUUUGGGAAGAUCUGUACCUUGUAUGUAUGUAAUCCAGCUCUCUUAUUUGCAUUCUGGAUGUAGCUCUGCGACAUGUCGAUCUUUUUAGCCAGAUCACGGCUUGAGACGUUAGGAUUUGUUUUAAACAUCCGCUUCAACUUUCCCUUCGCUCUCGGUUUUCUUCCAACUCCUUCGCCGUGGUCCAACGUCAGCCGCUCCUGGAACCCCUUCAACACUCUGGAGACUAUUGAAUGUUCAACUUUUCUCCCAACUGCCGGUGCGACAGGUCAGGAAAUUCCAAGUGUUUGGAAAGAAUUUGUUCUCUUUAUUCGCGUUGGUUCACCUCCAUUUUCGGUGAAUCGAAAAACACGACUUCGAGUUUGACAGCAUGUAAACAAUACACAUCAAUGAGAAAGUGUGCAAAAUCUGGUUGAUUUAAACCCAAUGGUAAAGAAGUGCUAUUGAAUGUGUCGCAAUAAUUUCGUAUUCGCUUUUUAUUUAUAAAUUUUUAAAUUCUUCAAAAAUUGAAACAGUUCAAUUUUGCGAAUAGAGUGAUAAAAUCUGGACAAUGUCGCCGAUGUCCGCGAGUUCGAGCCCAAGAGUAAACAUCAACACAGUUGUACCGGAUAAGUUUUUCAAUAAUGACCCGCUAACUUCAACGUUGAUAAAGUCGCGAAUGCCAUAAAGAUGGUAAGACGACUAUAAUCGAAUAAAAAAAUGAACAAAAUCCGGGCAUUUAUCAACGAAAUCCAGGCAAUCGGACUGGACCGGACCUUUCCCGAAUUUCGAAUUAAAUAUCCAGGCAAGUUCGAGUAGCACCGGGCAAUAUGGGAAGUUUAAUCUAAAACAAUAUCAAUUUAAAAAAAUAUUCAAGACUUGUAAGUCUAAUUAACAAAUAUUUUCCGCGCAGUUCUUUCAGUUCUAAUACAAGGAGUCUUUUAAAAAAAUGCAACACUUUGUUUCGCGAAUAACUUCUGAGUGCAUGGAUGGAAAUUGAUAAAAUUUUUAGUGAAGCUGCUCAGCUAUGUAAUGAGUACGUGUGCAUAAUUUGGUGACAAUCUGUCAAGUGGUUAUUGAGAUAGCGUCCAAUACUAAAGCUCAUUGACAAAAUUUUUGAACUGAUGAUUCAUCAGUGCUAUUAUCAUGCGCAAUCCGAGAACGAUUCUAUAGAAGAAUAGUUAAAAAAGAUCAUUUUUGACUGAUUUGUUUAGCUGACUAACAAACGGGCCUGAUUUCAUUUCUGCAAGGUAAAAAAGCUGCCCACCGAUACAAUAAAUCAAAUAAAGUGGUCAAACCGUUUGCACAAUAUUGGGACCGCUAGUGGGGAAAUAAUUUGAAAAAUUUCGUAACGGACAGUAAAACGAACUCUUUAGUGGGCACUUGGGAGAUUUUCAGCCAGAAACUUUCCGUUGUCAAUUGAAUAAAAAAUUGAUGUCUUAAGGAAGCUGACGAUCUGUGAAAGUUGCAAAUCCUGCAGUGUUUCAUUACGAUUGACAAAACGAAUAGCUAAUUUACAAAGAAGACUGCCUCCAAAUGCGACCGUUUCAACUAUAAAGCACUUCAAAAGGUCCCACAAAAAUUAAACUCUGUUUUGGUUGGAUUUGGAAUCGUGCCCUUACGUGAAAACUGUGGUGGAGUGAUAAAAAGUCAAAUAUGUUGCUUAUGUGCUAAAGGAGGACAAUCGGUCAAAUUGGUCAUAAUUCGACCAAGUUAAAAUUUUUGAGUAAUUUUGAAAGUCAAGCUUCAGAACAGUAAACGUAUUUAAAAUUAGCCUUGAUUUAGAAAAAGAAUGGUUUAUGGAACAUUAAAGAUGGCGCAUGUGAUGCACAAAAAAUGAGGCCGAAAAUUUUCUUCAUAGGACGCUAUCAAACCACAAACCACUUCACAGAACAUAGCAAAAAUAUGCAUAUGCACUAGAUUGAGUCGAUUUGGCUUCGUUUUAGUUCAAAACUAAUCCAUGGUUUUUUUCAGAAUUUUUAUGUAACGUUUACAUGAGUAAAUUGGAACUUCUAGGUUUGUAAGGGAAAAUUGAAUAUUUUGUACAAAAAAAAUCAUCAACAUUUUUGUUUCUUCUUCAGAACCAAGCCUGCUAAUGAUUUUAGUGCCAAUUUAUAAAUUUGUAAAUUAUAAUUUAUAAAUUUUCUAAAGCAAAUCUUCCGCUCAAUAACUUUGUCGAAGACCUUAACUUCGUAUCUAAUUAGGCAAAAAAGUUAUAAGCUGUUUAACAGGGUAUGUCUUUUGGCAUUGAAAAAUAAUCAAUUCAAUUGACCCCUAUUAAACAGCUAAUAACCUUUUUAUCUUAUAAGCUACGAUGUUACGGUCUUCAACUGAAUUGUGCAGCGGAAAAUGUUCUAUAGAAAAUUUAUAAAUUGGUACAAAAUCUAUAAGCAAGCUCUGUUCCUCAGAAGAAAAAAAAAUAAUGUUGAUUUUUCAGUACAAAAUAUUCAAUUUUCCCAUACAAAUCAAAAAGUUCAAAUUUACUCAUGUAAACGUAAAGUAAAAAUUCUGCAAAAACUUAUUGAUGAGUUUUGAACCAAAACGAAGUUUUAAAGACCCCAGGGUUUGAGAAAUUCAAAAAUGACCCCAAAUCGACUCAGUCUAAUGUACACAUUACAUAAUUAGGCAGCUUCGCUGAAAAUUGCAUUAAUUUCCAUCCAUGUAUUCAAAAGUUAUUUACAAAACAAAGUGUUUCAUUUUUUUUCGAAUACACUCCUUAUUAUGCCAAAAUUUAAGUGUCUUCAGCACUUUUGAAGGUAUCGAAUUUAUACAGUUAUUUUAAAUCAUCAAUAAGUGCCGCAUUGGUUAAUUUUAUUACGAAUGUACAUUAGACUGCCCCAAAUUUGUAUGAGAAAUUUCAAGCUUGUGAAAUGUUAAGCGCUGCAGGCUUAAAUUGAUCCUAAAUAGGCCUAGUACAAGGUCUCAUACCAAAUUUGGGCCAGAUCGGAUCACGGGAAAGGAUCGCUCAACGAGCGAAGUUUGUAUGGAAUUUUGAGACAUUUUGUUCGGGAGAAACAUGAAAAUCCAGUUUUUCAUGAAUAACUUUGGUCUCUUUCGGCCGAUUACUUUUGAAAAUGGUUUUUCUUAAAGCCUAAACUAUGACAAAGAUAUCAUCCGAAGACUAAAUCUCGAUUCGACUUAUGAUAAAAAAGUUAUUAAACUUCAAAAAUGGGGUAACUUUUUUCAGGGUGAUAUUCGUCACUGUUAAUGCUGCGUCCAAAUGUUCCAAGCCGUUUCUCUCAUUAAUAGUGAUGAAUAUCACCCUUGAAAAAGAUAACUAUUUUUUGAAGCCUAAUAGCUUUUGUGUCUUAAUUUGAAUCGAAAUGCAGUUUUUGGAUAAAAUUUUUGUCAUAGUUUAGGCUUUAAGAAAAACCAUUUUUAAAAGAAAUCGGCCGAAGGAGACCAAAGUUAUUCAUGAAAAACUGGAUUUUCGUGUUCCUCCCGAUCAAAAUGUCCGAAAAUCCCAUACAAACUUAAGACUCGCUGAGCGACCCCUUCCUGUGAUCCGAUCUGGCCCAAAUUUGGCAUGAGACCUUAUACUAGGCCUAGGAUCAAUUUAAGCCCGCAGCUCAUAACUUUUUCAAAUGUCAGAUCAUUUAGAGCACUCUAAUGUACAUAUAUGCAAAAAUUCAAAUGAUUUGUAGUUAAAAAAAUGUGCUAUUUACUCUGUCUUUGGCAGAUUAAAUUAAUAUGAGGAGAAAGAAUACCCCAAUGUGUAACUUCCUUUCAAAACAAAACAAAAAAAUCUAAAAUAUUGAUUUUUCGAUGAUCUGAGGAUAAGAAAUAAAUUGAUAAUGGAAUAUCAUUAACUGUGGAUAUCUAUACCGCUAAGGAAAUACUCAAUGAUAGCAGAAGUUUAAGGCUAUUUCCGCUUUUUCCAUCCGAAAUUUAAAAAUAAAUCUUGGAGCAUUGAUACUAUUGUUAAUUUUCAGAAACACGUAAACUAGACGAACAUUAUUCGUAAAAUUCAACUAAAAUAAAGAUGUCUCCAUACUAUUGAAAACUCUUUACUAACAGUUGUCAAAAACGAAGGCUUAGAUAAGCUUAAAAACAUGAGAAAACUGCAAAUGGACCUUUUUUCGAAAAAUCAUCAAUCAGAAAUCCAUGAUCCAUGUGCUGUUCGAUAAAAAAAAUGACCAUUCUGGAUUGAUUUUAGAAAAAAAAAUUCUUAAUUAGAAAGGAAAGAUGAGUCAUAAACCUCACUUGGUCGGGAUUUGACCAGAACUGAACGUCAUAAACUUGAUUUCGAGAAAAUCGAGUUCGAAGUUCACAGCCCUACCAAUUGAUACCAUUUCGUCAGAUAUCUCAUUCAAUAAUUUUACCACAUUUGGAAUCUUAUAAAGCCGUCGAGGUUUUACUGGUCGAUUUCUGGUUACACAUUAAGCAAAACACUGAGUUUUAAUAGCAUAAUGUUUGAACCCAGUUCAAUCUGGUCGAACAAAAAUGUUUUUUUACGGGAUUUUCAUCCUCUGGGAUGAUUCAUCCCUAAUAACAAAAAUGUUUAAAAUUGGCUAUGCAAUAUCAUUUGUGUGGGCAGUUUGUUCGUAGGAGCCUACUUAUAGGCGCUUUACGAGCAGCACCCAACCGGUGAUGUAAACCUUCCAGAUUUUGUCUGGAUCUUUCAGACUUUUUGGACUUCUGUCAGACAUUUUUGCAGGUUUCCAGACUUCCAGACCUUUGUAAUUUCUUCCAGACAAUUUCAGACUUUUGGAUUAGAACAUAAAUUGUUCUAAGAAACUAUGAAAAUUUGAAAUGGUCAUGGUAUAUUAUGGCAGAAAAUGAUUAGAAUUUAUGAAUUCAGAUGUGGUUGAAAGCUAUUAAUAAAGGCAAAUGCUUCGAAGAUGUAUGUUAAAUUGAGAGUUAAACAGAACAUGUAACUGAUAGUGACAGAAACAAACAAUUAGUGGCUAUCUGCAAUAUUGAUAUCUGGCGACCAAAAAAAAGGUCACCACCUUCAACCAACGAGUAUGGAAAAUGGUUUUUUAACUUACCAGCAGCGUUCUGAACGACAGUAAGCAAUCAAAUUAAACAUCUUCUAACGUUAAAUGUUAAAAAUCCUAACCUAUCCUACCGUAAUCCUAUCCUUAUGUAAAUUUGAAAACAAAAUUCCAGGGAUUCAGUCAUCAUUUGAUUUAUCAGAUAUUAGUACUUGACGAGCCGAAGAACUGUUUUGAAUCGAAAAAACCAACACACAUAAGAUUAUUUCGCACAAAAUUAGUUUUCAUGACCAAAACAUGCUUUUCAUCUUUACCUCAAAGGUGGCUCUCAGUUCACUUGGCGCAACGUAUUUUUGCCAUUUCCACUGUCUGCAACAUUGAAAUUUUUGUAAUAAUAUCAGAAAAAAUAGAAAAUGGAUUCUGAUUUUCAUUAGAUAGGUAGUUUAUCAUGUUUCCCAUCCGCUGCAAUAGAUAACUCAUUUUUUAACAAAUUGGCGUUCAGUUCGGCCUGGUCUAAUCCCGACCACUCAUCAUACAAGUUGAAAUAUCUCAGGUAUUUGUGAAACAAGUUUAAACAAAAAAUAAAUAGAAAUAUAGCUAUAAGUCAGCCUAUUUCAUUUCUUUCUUUAUUUAAAAAAGUCAAUUCUACACAGACAAAAUUUUUGACCAUUAAGUGUCACUGGAACUGCAACCUUUAAAAUAAAUCAACCUUUAAUUAACGAAAUCUGUAUUUUUAAAUUGUUUUCCUUAAACGUUAACGAAGAUUAAUUUAUUAUCACAGCAAAUGUCCUUUUUGUUACCUGGUAUUUGCGUUAUUUUACAGGAAAUAAAUUUUGCUGUGUAAUAUGUUUCUAAAUUCAUAAAAAAUGGUUGGAGUGUGUGAAAACUUAAACCGAAGAAGAACUGAAAGUCUUCUUAGCCUAUGAGCUUAUGGAAUUUUUGUAAAAAAUUUCCUCAUUUAUAAAGUUUUUAGUAGAACAAAAGUUGUUUUCGAUCAUAAAAAUAAGCUUCUGUGAAGUUAAAAUACCGUCAAACUGCGUAAGAUGCAACAGAAUUCAAUAAAGCGAUUUUUUUCUUCAUAUAAAAUAUUGAAAAAAAUAUAAAUGAUAUUUUGAAAACACAUUUUUGUUACCAGAAAAAUUUGAUCUGUCCAAAUGUUUUAAUUUUCGAAUUCAACCACGUAAGCAAGUAAAUUUUAUUGUUAUAAUUUUUACCCCUAAAUGUAUGCAGCACCAAUACGCUUAAGAAUUCGUUGAGGAGGAAUAAAAGCCUAGAACAUUUUUUGGAAAUGAUUUUUGAUAGAUUUUCAGGAAUUUUAAAUUGAUUUUUCAAUUAAAAAAAAAAGGUUGUUGCAAUUUACUCCUCCCUACGAAGGAAAUGUAAAACAUAUGUUCUUGAGGCAUUUUAUUGCCAAAACUUUUAAUUUUACUGACUGCAUCAAUAUAAUUUCCCAUCCACCUAACUACUUUUGAUAUAGUGUGAUUACCUAUGAACAUAUUUUUUUCGAAGACAUUGAGUUGAAAAGUUUUGCAUGUCACCUCAGUUGACGGCAGAGAUUGAAGACUCGCCGAGAUUUUGUUCGUAGAGGUGACAAAUUUUCGCACAUAAACUCAGGCGUUUUCGAACGACUUUGGCGCAGAAUCACUGGAUCGCCUUUACUAAUGCAAUUUUUUUAACCCAAAUUUUUAUUAGGGAUGAAUGAUCCCAGGGUAAAUAAAUACCGUACAAAAAAUCACAAAUUUCGACUUCUGUGGUAUUUCCCUUCUAGCGCCGCCAAACAUUUAUUCGAGAAACAACAGCCUGAUCAUCUUGAUACUCAAAGCUUUUUGUUUCUAAGUAUUUUGAGCUCAAGGGAUCAAUUAUGCCCAUAACAUACAAAAUGGAAUUUUUUUUUCUUAAACAAAAUUUAGAAUUAUUUAUUGCUUUGAAAAUAUGGCAAAAUAAAGUUCAAAUUACACUCUAACGAUUGACAUUUUUGUAAAAACAAAAUUUAUCCUAGUUUUUUCAUGUUACAAACAUAUAAAGUGAUAUAAAAGAUCUUCAAAUCACAUUUCGUUUAAUUUUUCAUUCAAAGUUCAAUUCGAAACAUUUUUUUUUUAAUUCGUUAAAAUAACAGCAUUGUUGUUUUGUUCAAUUUCGCACAUUUUUCUAGAAAAUUUGAUAUUUCUUUCGAGUUACAGCGAAGGAAUCAAGUAUCCUCACUCUCCCCAAUAGCUCUUUUCAACACCUAUUACUUUUAUCUAAUCUUUUUAUCAAUCACAAAAUUUCAUUUCUAAUGUCGAGAAACUUUAAUUCAUAAUCAAUUUUUCGGUUGUUAGCUCUCUUAAAAUACUUAAUACGAAUUUUCUUGAGAAAUAAUUAUCUUUUUAAAGCAACUUCUUUAAUGAUCAUUUGACAAUUGCAUAUGUCUAUAAUUUUAACCUGAAAAGUUUUAAUAAAAAAAAAUUCUCGCCUUUUCUUUUUUUCUGAAUUUGAAACGACCAUCGAUAACUGAUUUCAUUGGUAUCUAAUAAAAUUUAUUAAGAAUAGAUUACACUUUUUCCAAAUCUAGACCAAUCGAUCGACUUUCUAUGCUGUUUGGAUGAAUAAAACCCUCUAGAAUGAGCACAAUAAACCUAAGCUGUGAUAGUUUCAAAAAAAAAGUUAUCUCUAUCAGUGUUAAGUUUCUUAAAACUUUAUGACAAGAAUAUAUAGAACUGUUAAGAAAAAAUGUUUGAUUUCUAGUUGUAUGAAUUUUAUUUUUGCCCUUUCUAUUUCCAACUCAUCUCAAAGCGUAGUUCUGUUUAAAAAAAAUCUCUAUCGACUGUUCAGUAGAGUGUCAUCGAUAAAAAUAGGAUUUAGAGUAACAAAAAGGAUAGAGCCGUAGAAACAAACCAACUGUAAACCCAUUAAUGUAAAUGUUGUUGAAAACGAAACUUCAAAGUGCUGUUCAGUUAAAUUAACUAAAAGAAAAACAAACAAAAAAAGAAUAACAACCUAUGAAAGGUGGAAACUUAGAUUUAGAAAUAUCAUUGUGAUCAUCGGAAAGCAAGCAGAAUAAAACAAAUGAAAAAAACUCAUUCAUUGCUAAGUCUACUGAAUAAACUAUGGGAUAGUAACAUGUGAAAAACAUAUGGGAACCUAAAGCAAACGAAAGCAAAUACCAAAAUUUAUAGAACCGUUUUUGUUUGUUUGGCAAACCCAAGAUAGAUGAAACAUACAAGAUUAAAAAAAACUAUAGACGAAAAACACUGGCGUUCAACAAUCAAACUAAAUCUGAUCUAAGCUAAUAGGAUCAUUUAAACGAAAUUUCUACAUAGCUGGUUAAACUAUUGUAAAAUGUGCUGCAUGUUGUUUUUCGAGAGAAUUUAUGUGAAACUCUAGCUAAUAUAAACUGAAAAAAAACAUGUUAUUUGCGACUGAAUGAGUUUGAUUAGCCCUAGUAAAAGAGGAAUAGGUGUAAACGAAACCGAACAUUUUCAUAACUUCGAACAACAAUGUGAGAAUCGAACUUUAUGAAAACCAAAAAAAAACUUCACUUAUUGAACUUACAACUUUUUCGGUUCUAAAUGCAAGCUCUAGAAUGUAGUGAGUUUUUUAAGGCAGACCCCUAGAGUUUCGAUAUCCCUCUAAUUGCAAAGAGAUUCAUGAACUUCCAUUCAUUUAUUCGAUAAUGGAUUAGAAAAAAAAACCUUUAUAGAAGAUCUCUUGUGACAGAGAUAAACAAAAAGAAAACAAUAAUUAAUUUAGCAUAGGGUGAAUGUGUAAAAUCACUUGUUGAAUGACAUAGUUCUGUUUUGUUGUGUAUAAUUCCUUUUUGCAGAGAAAAUCCAACCAGUAGAUGUAGGUAUUAGCGAAAAUGAGUCUCAUAGUUGGUCAAUUUUAAGUGCAAACGCAAACCUCUUGCUAAGUUGCUGAUGUUUAAAGCAGUUUUAUUACUAGUUAAUGACGAUGGCAUUUAAUACAAAGAUACACAAAUAUACACUCAACCACACACAAACAUUUAAAACACAAAAAAGCAAACAUAAUUUUAAGAGUUGUACGGCAGUGCAGAUUUUCUUUAGUGAAACCCUUCGGUGGUGCUUCGCAGCAAAACUUAUUUAUAUAUUCCGUUACAAUGUAUCCACAUAUAAACGAUAUGGUGGAAAAAACAAGAGCAAAAAACCAAUGUUAAGUUCCCCAAAUGAGGCACCCAACUAUAUCAAAAGGACACAAACCAAACCCAAACCGAAAGGACGCAAAUUGUUCGAGAAAAAAAAACAUAAACCGAGAUAUUACGAUAAGGAUCAAAAAGUAAACGUGAAGUAAACGAAGAAAUCGAAUGAGAUAUUUAUUUUUAGUUGUAAGAAUAUUUUGAACAAGUUCAACAAAAAAUCAAAGUGAUUCAUAAUUA
Long non-coding RNA from Uranotaenia lowii, 24613 nucleotides. RefSeq lists it as uncharacterized. The transcript is spliced from 2 exons. The record is from RefSeq and is a predicted model, not a curated record. Lineage: Eukaryota; Metazoa; Arthropoda; Insecta; Diptera; Culicidae.